Molecule: microRNA precursor, 99 nt
Filed under: Chlorocebus sabaeus (green monkey)
Lineage: Eukaryota; Metazoa; Chordata; Mammalia; Primates; Cercopithecidae
Description: miRNA (ENSCSAG00000025169.1)
Source: RNAcentral
ACUCAGCCUGUCCUUUGGAAGUUUGAAACCAGGAAUUGACUUCUCUCUAGCUAUGAAAUGCUAUCUGCCAUCCUAGAUGGCAUCUUCUUCAAUAGAAGG